UCCCGUGUGGCUCAGUUGGUAGAGCAUGGUGUUUGCAACGCCAGGGUAGUUCGAUUCCCACGGGGG
This 66-nucleotide transfer RNA is filed under the name Salmo salar (Atlantic salmon). It matches the Rfam family "tRNA". From Rfam's summary of the family: Transfer RNA (tRNA) molecules are approximately 80 nucleotides in length. Their secondary structure includes four short double-helical elements and three loops (D, anti-codon, and T loops). Lineage: Eukaryota; Metazoa; Chordata; Actinopteri; Salmoniformes; Salmonidae. The record is from Rfam by way of RNAcentral.